RNAcentral lists this long non-coding RNA (1580 nucleotides) under Pogona vitticeps (central bearded dragon). RNAcentral's name for it is "lncRNA (ENSPVIG00000006295.1)". Lineage: Eukaryota; Metazoa; Chordata; Lepidosauria; Squamata; Agamidae. The record is from RNAcentral.
UCAUCCCAUGUAGACAGGAGGAACAGCAAAAAAUAAAUGCAAGUCCUUUUGAUUCUUUGUCUCCUUCAAGAAUACAAAUACAAAUAGGAGCACUGGUGAAGGGCAAAAAGAUUCAUGGUGCAAUCCUGCACUCCAGAAGUGGGCUCUGUCUGGUUCUCCAGAACUCGGUUGGCAGCAAAUAUCAUUAGCAACGUUGUGGGGGAUGAUGGCAGGUCCCCUCCCAGGAUACUUGCGGGAACCACAACUUGGCCACAACUACCUGUUAUAAACCAGGAAGCAGUUGUCAGGAGACAGGCCUGGUCUGGCUCAUCUUUCCGCCUCGUCGCCGCUUUUCUCGCACCGGAUCGGCUUCCACGGUUUCCCUCCACUCCGGUGUUUGCUUGCGAAUUCGUAGCUGUGCCACUGGUUCCUUCAGCCAAGCAGCGGGUCCAACUCUGUGGACUACAAAAGAAGAAGAAGAAAGCCCAGCAGCCUUCGGCCAAGGCUCAUGGCCUGGAGAAGUUACUUCUUGGACUACAGCCCUCAAGCCCCAGCCAACACGGCUGGUGGGACAAUGUAACUUUCCCAAGAUCUGGAGUUUAUUUAGUUCCGAGAAUAAUAUACAUAGGCAGAAUGGGGCUGCCUGUCCUGCAUUUUUUUUAAUAUUGGAAAAAAGAGAUCUAAUCCAUAAAUCACUGCGCGGGGCCCCUUCCUGCAGCAAAUAACGUGGCAAUGCAACAUCUCGCAGAUGAACGUAACAAGAUGGGUUUGUUGCAGAGUGGAAACAGACCCUGGCCCCGCUCCCUCUUGAAACUGUAUCUGUGCUACGCGGAUACAUCGGUUUAAUCCCACUUUAACUGGUAUGACUCCAUCCUAAGGAAUCUGAGAUUUGUAAUUUGAUGAGGUACUUAGAAUGUAUCUCAGGGGAGGUCAAACUGCAAUUCCCAGAAUUUCGUAUUUUGUACGUAAUAUGGAGCCCAUGGUCGUUCAAGUGAAGGAAGUGCCCCAACUGCCUAAAAGAGUGGAGUUUCCUCUUCUUGGUUUUCCGACCAAGUAAAACACUUAUUUAUGUCCUUUUCCCCCCAUAGAAGACUCAAGGCGGAGGACAACCAUCGAAAAAGAAAAAGUGCAAGAGCCGCUGGAGAAGAAAAAAACUGGAGAGAAAGAACAACCAACCAGCCAACCUCGUGGAAGUGCAAUCUAUGCAGCGAAACAGUCGCGACCCGUUUUGAGCCUAGACCACAGCUUUGAACUGGCUACCGAGGGGUAAUGGUCCAGGCAGGGGCAAAUCCCUCUUUCCUUUCCUUCCUUCCUUGAUGGCAGUCAGCGGGUGCCGGUGCGUUUUUAGGAUCUCAGCAGGGCACCCAGCACCUCCAGGGUCAGAAUGGCCUGGCAGAAGGUCCUAAUGUUCAUACCCGUGUAAGCUGAUCUAGGUUUGCGCCCUGCCCUUCCUUGUUGAUCUGAAUCAAGGAGGGCCUCCUUUAUUCCAGCGGAGGUUGCUAGCUGGAGCCCUAAAACUUCACUCCACGCUUCUCAUUGAGCUGUGUGUCCGGGAAAGGUCAUGCUACAAUAAACCUCUUCUUUGUUAUUUAGGCGCGCCA